AUGUCUUCAUCCUCCGGCGCCUCACCUAGCCUCAAUGGCCAGGUCACCGAGAAGAUCAAUCACAUGAACUACGUGCUAUGGCGCACACAGGUCACACCCCACCUGCGGGGCGCCGGUGUCUUCGGCUACGUCGAUGGCACCACGUCGUAGCCGGCCAGACUCCACGUCAUGAAAGACAUGGACGGCAAGGAGACUUCUGCGCCCAACCCUCUCCACCCACUUUGGGUUCGGGAGGACCAAUAGGUGCUUGGCUAUUUGCUGAGUACCCUCUCCAAGGAGGUGCUGGUUGCGGUCACCGCGAUC
This 303-nucleotide ribosomal RNA is filed under the name Triticum aestivum (bread wheat). RNAcentral's name for it is "partial small subunit ribosomal RNA". The record is from RNAcentral. Lineage: Eukaryota; Viridiplantae; Streptophyta; Magnoliopsida; Poales; Poaceae.